Molecule: transfer RNA, 72 nt
Filed under: Ectyoplasia ferox (brown encrusting octopus sponge)
Lineage: Eukaryota; Metazoa; Porifera; Demospongiae; Axinellida; Raspailiidae
Description: tRNA-Gly
Rfam family: tRNA
About the family: Transfer RNA (tRNA) molecules are approximately 80 nucleotides in length. Their secondary structure includes four short double-helical elements and three loops (D, anti-codon, and T loops). Further hydrogen bonds mediate the characteristic L-shaped molecular structure. tRNAs have two regions of fundamental functional importance: the anti-codon, which is responsible for specific mRNA codon recognition, and the 3' end, to which the tRNAs corresponding amino acid is attached (by aminoacyl-tRNA synthetases). tRNAs cope with the degeneracy of the genetic code in two manners: having more than one tRNA (with a specific anti-codon) for a particular amino acid; and 'wobble' base-pairing, i.e. permitting non-standard base-pairing at the 3rd anti-codon position.
Source: RNAcentral
ACAUACAUAAUUUAUCGAGUAAAAUAAUUGAUUUCCAAUCAAUAGAGAUGGGUUCAACUCCCAUUGUGUGUA